This 567-nucleotide ribosomal RNA is filed under the name uncultured eukaryote. RNAcentral describes it as "bacterial SSU rRNA". It matches the Rfam family "Eukaryotic small subunit ribosomal RNA", at positions 22 to 549 of the family's 1831-position model. The record is from RNAcentral.
AAGUCAUAUGCUUGUUUCAAGGAUUAAGCCAUGCAAGUGCCAGAGUAACUAUCUGUACUAGAGGUCUGCGUACGGCUCAUUAAACGGUUUUUUAUCUACCCAGCGAAGGUGGUUCCCUAACCGCCCGAUGGAUAACUCCGCUAACUGUGGAGCUAAUACACGUCUGACAAAGCUUGCCCUAUCAACCUCCUAACGGGUUCGCCUUGCGGGAGGUGGGGUGGGCUGCUAUUGGCCGAUACAAAAACCAACGCCCGUUGAGGGCAGUUGUAACAGUUGAGGCAGGCCAAUCUUGCAAUAGCGUCUUCUGACGCGAUGCUGGACGAAAUUACUACCUAUCAGGUUGUUUGUAGUGUAGUGGACUACAAAGCCAGUUACGGGUCCGGGGGAUUGGGGUUCGAUUCCGGAGAGGGUGCCUGAGAGAUGGCAACCAUGGCUACGGCCAGCAGCAGGCGCGCAAAUUGCCCAAUGCCGACACGGUGAGGCAGCGACGAAAAAUAACAACUUCACCGCCCUUUCGGGCAUGAAGUUUGUAAUGAUUUGUAAACACACGUACUAAGAGUAUCCAUU